This 253-nucleotide ribosomal RNA is filed under the name uncultured bacterium. Its description in RNAcentral is "partial 16S ribosomal RNA". It matches the Rfam family "Bacterial small subunit ribosomal RNA", at positions 524 to 776 of the family's 1533-position model. The record is from RNAcentral.
UACGAAGGGGGCUAGCGUUGUUCGGAAUUACUGGGCGUAAAGCGUGCGCAGGCGGCCUUCCAAGUCAGGGGUGAAAGCCCAGAGCUCAACUCUGGAAUUGCCUUUGAGACUGUGAGGCUUGAGUACGGGAGAGGUGAGUGGAAUUCCCAGUGUAGAGGUGAAAUUCGUAGAUAUUGGGAAGAACACCGGUGGCGAAGGCGGCUCACUGGCCCGAAACUGACGCUCAUGCACGACAGCGUGGGGAUCAAGCAGG